Molecule: ribosomal RNA, 497 nt
Filed under: uncultured bacterium
Lineage: Bacteria
Description: partial 16S ribosomal RNA
Rfam family: Bacterial small subunit ribosomal RNA
Source: RNAcentral
GAUGAACGCUGGCGGCGUGCCUAAUACAUGCAAGUCGAGCGAACAGACGAGGAGCUUGCUCCUCUGACGUUAGCGGCGGACGGGUGAGUAACACGUGGAUAACCUACCUAUAAGACUGGGAUAACUUCGGGAAACCGGAGCUAAUACCGGAUAAUAUAUUGAACCGCAUGGUUCAAUAGUGAAAGACGGUUUUGCUGUCACUUAUAGAUGGAUCCGCGCCGCAUUAGCUAGUUGGUAAGGUAACGGCUUACCAAGGCAACGAUGCGUAGCCGACCUGAGAGGGUGAUCGGCCACCCUGGAACUGAGACACGGUCCAGACUCCUACGGGAGGCAGCGGUAGGGAAUCUUCCGCAAUGGGCGAAAGCUUGACGGAGCAACGCCGCGUGAGUGAUGAAGGUCUUCGGAUCGUAAAACUCUGUUAUUAGGGAAGAACAAAUGUGUAAGUAACUAUGCACGUCUUGACGGUACCUAAUCAGAAAGCCACGGCUAACUACGUG